Pelobates cultripes (western spadefoot toad) is the source of this 532-nucleotide non-coding RNA. The record is from the annotation of a GenBank genome assembly. Lineage: Eukaryota; Metazoa; Chordata; Amphibia; Anura; Pelobatidae.
CCAACAACACGCGUCCGCAUUACAGGUGGGUAGUUCUCCCCCUGAGUGCCAAGUUUCUCCGUCUUUUAUACCUUUUAGCAAGUUUGUAACUUUUCCAAGAUUUCUUAUCAGUGCAGCCCAGCAUGUAUCUUGUCAUGUGCAUUAGGUCAUCAGUAUGGUUGAUCAGGCCAGUCGUGACCACCCAAGGCUCAUGCCAGACACAUGCGGUAUCUUAUCUAUCUAUGUCCCUACUCUUAUCUCUCCAUACAUUUGUUGGCACCAAUUCCCUCUGUUCAGCAGUAGGCCUUUUUGGAUAUUGGCCAGACAUGCUAUGGAAUAUUCCAGGCAAUGUUGAAUUUCUUAGUGCGACACAGUUUAAGCAUUUUAUGCAAUGUCAUCAUAGCUGAAUUUCUUAGUGCGACACAAGUUGAAUUUCUUAGUGCGACACAGUUUAAGCCAGGUGCCAUCUUAACUAUCUAUGAUAGAUUAAUUUGCUCAUUAGUGAUCAAUCAAUCAUUCUUAAUUAGUUAAUUGGAUUUUAUCACAAUUAUCA